This 78-nucleotide transfer RNA is filed under the name Rheinheimera sp. Its description in RNAcentral is "tRNA-Pro". It matches the Rfam family "tRNA". From Rfam's summary of the family: Transfer RNA (tRNA) molecules are approximately 80 nucleotides in length. Their secondary structure includes four short double-helical elements and three loops (D, anti-codon, and T loops). Further hydrogen bonds mediate the characteristic L-shaped molecular structure. tRNAs have two regions of fundamental functional importance: the anti-codon, which is responsible for specific mRNA codon recognition, and the 3' end, to which the tRNAs corresponding amino acid is attached (by aminoacyl-tRNA synthetases). tRNAs cope with the degeneracy of the genetic code in two manners: having more than one tRNA (with a specific anti-codon) for a particular amino acid; and 'wobble' base-pairing, i.e. permitting non-standard base-pairing at the 3rd anti-codon position. RNAcentral also lists the same sequence under 3 other names. Lineage: Bacteria; Pseudomonadati; Pseudomonadota; Gammaproteobacteria; Chromatiales; Chromatiaceae. The record is from RNAcentral.
CGGGGCGUAGCGCAGCCCGGUUAGCGCACUAGUCUGGGAGACUAGGGGUCGGAGGUUCAAAUCCUCUCGCCCCGACCA